GACGAACGCUGGCGGCGUGCUUAACACAUGCAAGUCGAACGGAAAGGCCCUGCUUUUGCGGGGUGCUCGAGUGGCGAACGGGUGAGUAACACGUGAGUAACCUGCCCUUGACUUUGGGAUAACUUCAGGAAACUGGGGCUAAUACCGGAUAGGAGCUCCUGCUGCAUGGUGGGGGUUGGAAAGUUUCGGCGGUUGGGGCUGGACUCGCGGCUUAUCAGCUUGAUGGUGGGGUAGUGGCUUACAAAGGGUUUGACGGGUAGCCGGCCUGAGAGGGUGACCGGCCACAUUGGGCCUGAGAGACGGCCCAGACUCCUACGGGAGGCAGCAGGGGGGAAUAUUGCACAAUGGGCGGAAGCCUGAUGCAGCAACGCCGCGUGCGGGAUGACGGCCUUCGGGUGAUAAACCGCUUUCGCCUGUGACGAAGCGUGAUUGACGGUAAUGGGUAAAGAAGCACCGGCUAACUACGUG
RNAcentral lists this ribosomal RNA (468 nucleotides) under uncultured bacterium. Its description in RNAcentral is "partial 16S ribosomal RNA". It matches the Rfam family "Bacterial small subunit ribosomal RNA", at positions 28 to 507 of the family's 1533-position model. The record is from RNAcentral.